AGAGUUUGAUCCUGGCUCAGGAUGAACGCUGGCGGCGUGCUUAACACAUGCAAGUCGAGCGAAGCACUUAUCAUUGACUCUUCGGAAGAUUUGAUAUUUGACUGAGCGGCGGACGGGUGAGUAACGCGUGGGUAACCUGCCUCAUACAGGGGAAUAACAGUUAGAAAUGGCUGCUAAUGCCGCAUAAGCGCACAGGACCGCAUGGUCCGGUGUGAAAAACCGAGGUGGUAUGAGAUGGACCCGCGUCUGAUUAGGUAGUUGGUGGGGUAACGGCCUACCAAGCCGACGAUCAGUAGCCGGCCUGAGAGGGUGAACGGCCACAUUGGGACUGAGACACGGUCCAAACUCCUACGGGAGGCAGCAGUGGGGAAUAUUGCACAAUGGGGGAAACCCUGAUGCAGCGACGCCGCGUGAAGGAAGAAGUAUCUCGGUAUGUAAACUUCUAUCAGCAGGGAAGAAAAUGACGGUACCUGACUAAGAAGCCCCGGCUAACUACGUGCCAGCAGCCGCGGUAAUACGUAGGGGGCUAGCGUUAUCCGGAUUUACUGGGCGUAAAGGGAGCGUAGACGGACGGGCAAGUCUGAAGUGAAAGGCAGGGGCUCAACUCCUGGACUGCUUUGGAAACUGUCCAUCUAGAGUGCCGGAGAGGUAAGCGGAAUUCCUAGUGUAGCGGUGAAAUGCGUAGAUAUUAGGAGGAACACCAGUGGCGAAGGCGGCUUACUGGACGGUAACUGACGUUGAGGCUCGAAAGCGUGGGGAGCAAACAGGAUUAGAUACCCUGGUAGUCCACGCCGUAAACGAUGA
Molecule: ribosomal RNA, 804 nt
Filed under: uncultured bacterium
Lineage: Bacteria
Description: bacterial SSU rRNA
Rfam family: Bacterial small subunit ribosomal RNA
Source: RNAcentral